RNAcentral lists this ribosomal RNA (200 nucleotides) under uncultured bacterium. RNAcentral's name for it is "partial 16S ribosomal RNA". It matches the Rfam family "Bacterial small subunit ribosomal RNA", at positions 30 to 232 of the family's 1533-position model. The record is from RNAcentral.
AUUGAACGCUGGCGGCAUGCUUUACACAUGCAAGUCGAACGGUAGCAGGCCGCAAGGUGCUGACGAGUGGCGAACGGGUGAGUAAUGCAUCGGAACGUGCCCAGUCGUGGGGGAUAACGCAGCGAAAGCUGCGCUAAUACCGCAUACGAUCUAAGGAUGAAAGCGGGGGACCGUAAGGCCUCGCGCGAUUGGAGCGGCCG